UCAGUGGCGAACGGGUGAGUAACACGUGAGCAACCUGCCCUUGACUCUGGGAUAACCACGGGAAACGGUGGCUAAUACCGGAUACGAGACGCACAGGCAUCUGUGGCGUCUGGAAAGAUUUAUCGGUCAGGGAUGGGCUCGCGGCCUAUCAGCUUGUUGGUGGGGUAAUGGCCUACCAAGGCGACGACGGGUAGCCGGCCUGAGAGGGCGACCGGCCACACUGGGACUGAGACACGGCCCAGACUCCUACGGGAGGCAGCAGUGGGGAAUAUUGCACAAUGGGCGCAAGCCUGAUGCAGCGACGCCGCGUGAGGGAUGACGGCCUUCGGGUUGUAAACCUCUUUCAGCAGGGAAGAAGCGCAAGUGACGGUACCUGCAGAAGAAGCGCCGGCUAACUACGUGCCAGCAGCCGCGGUAAUACGUAGGGCGCAAGCGUUGUCCGGAAUUAUUGGGCGUAAAGAGCUCGUAGGCGGUUUGUCGCGUCUGCUGUGAAAACCUGAGGCUCAACCUCGGGCUUGCAGUGGGUACGGGCAGACUAGAGUGCGGUAGGGGUGACUGGAAUUCCUGGUGUAGCGGUGGAAUGCGCAGAUAUCAGGAGGAACACCGAUGGCGAAGGCAGGUCACUGGGCCGCAACUGACGC
RNAcentral lists this ribosomal RNA (641 nucleotides) under Cellulomonas sp. I13A-01688. RNAcentral's name for it is "bacterial SSU rRNA". It matches the Rfam family "Bacterial small subunit ribosomal RNA", at positions 92 to 746 of the family's 1533-position model. The record is from RNAcentral. Lineage: Bacteria; Bacillati; Actinomycetota; Actinomycetes; Micrococcales; Cellulomonadaceae.